RNAcentral lists this long non-coding RNA (2601 nucleotides) under Homo sapiens (human). RNAcentral's name for it is "HSALNT0384397". Lineage: Eukaryota; Metazoa; Chordata; Mammalia; Primates; Hominidae. The record is from RNAcentral.
GCUUACUCAGGGAGAGAAAAGUAGGGGGAGGAAUUCUCGUUCCCAGGAACUGAUGGAGGACCCCCAGCUGAAGGGAAGAGGGUGUUUCAGGGCCAUUUCUUCCCCAGCAGCUGCCGUCUGUCCAUCUAUCCAUCCCUGCGUCCCGUUCCCUCAGAGCCUGGAGGUCUGCCUGGUGGAGGAGGAAGGGCUAUCUCCAGAUUGAGAAAGCCUCAGGGUGUGGAUGUGAUGGGAGAAUGUGGUUGUGUGUGCUUCCACCUGCGUGUAUUUGUGUGGGAGAUGUGUGUGUCGGGUGUGUGGAGUGUCUGUGUGUCAAGCAGCAUUUUUUUUUUCUUUUUUAGAAACAGUCUUGUUCUUGUCACCCAGACUGGAGUGCAGUGGGGCGAUCUCAGCUCACUGCAACCGCCACCUCCCAGGUUCAAGCGAUUCUCCUGCCUCAGCCUCCUGAGUAGCUGGGACUACAGCCAUGCACCAUCACGCCUGGCUAAAUUUGUGUAUUUUGGUAGAGAUGGGGUUUCACCAUGUUGGCCAGGCUGGUCUCGAACGCCUAACCUCAAGUGAUCCUCCUAUCUUGGCCUCCCAAUAUGCUGGAAUUACAGGCGUGAGCCACUGUGCCCGGCCCGCCCUCAUUCUUUAACGUGCAUUUAUUGAGCACCUAAUAUAUGCCAGGCACACAAAACUGAGCAAGGCAGAUGAGGUGCUUACUUACCCCAAGAAGCCCACAUUUUAGUGAAGGAAACAGAUGCCAGACACAUUCUUCUUUUUUUUUUUUUUCUUGAGAUGGAGUCUUGCUCUGUCACCCAGGCUGGAGUGCAGUGGCGCAAUCUCGGCAAGACUCCGUCUUGGAAAAAAAAAAAAAAAAGAAAGUGCCAAGAUCCACUUGCUGUUCUGACAGGACCCCCGAGUCUACUGUGCAGAGGAACAGUGGCGGGGAUUGGGCCAAAGACAGGAGGUGACUGUCCAGAAGGAAGUGGCCCUAACAGAGAGCAUGGACACUGUACAGGGGAAGCAAGUGUGCCCAGAGCCUGAGGUCCCAGCCCCCUCUUCUCUGAGACCCCUGGCAGAAGGAUGCUUCCUGGGGAGGGGGCUUCAUCUACACGGCUUGUGGGGGGCGCAGUGGGGCAGCACAGGGGCCCAGGUUCCAGUCCUAGCCUGGCCCGCAAUUGCUGCAUGGUUUGGGGGGAGCUGAUCCGAGCCUCAUUUCCCCAUCUGUAGAAUGGGACAAUAACUCUCCUGCCCACGUUCCCCGCAGCACCAUUCACAACAGCCAAGAUUAAGAAGCAAUCUAAGGCUGGGCGUCGUGGCUCACACCUGUAAUCCCAGCACUUUGGGAGGCUGAGGUGGGUGGGUCACCUGAGGUCAGGAGUUCGAGACCAGCCUGGCCAACAUGGUGAACCCUCAUCUCUACUAAAAAUACAAAAAUUAGCCGGGCGUGGUGGCAGAUGCCUGUAAUCCCAGCUACUUGGGAGGCUGAGGCAGGAGAAUCGCUUCAACUUGGGAGGCGGAGGUUGCAGUGAGCCGAGAUCCUGCCACUGCACUCCAGCCUGGACAACAAGAGUGAAACUCUGUCUCAAAAACAAACAAACAAACAAACAAAAAGUAAUAAAUUUAAAUGUCAUUCAUCAGUGGAUGAAUGGGUAGAGAAAAUGCAGUACCUAAACAUGAUGGAAUAUUAUUCAGCCAUAGAAGAAUGAGAUCCUUGGCCAGGUGCGGUGGCUCACACCUGCAAUCCCAGCACUUUGGGAGGACAAGGCAGGCAGAUCACCUGAGAUGAAGAAACGGAGGUGCGGAGCAGAGAAGCGACCUGGUCAAGGAACCCAGUGGCAGAGUCAGACCCCCACCUCCUCACCUGUCCCCAGAGCCUGUGCUCUUAGCCCAGCACAGCUGAAUGGGAUCCCUCCUCAUCCAACUCACCCAAAUACCUUUCAGAAGAUGUAAAGUGGCUUCUCAAAAGGAUCAAAGAGGCCAGGCACGGUGGCUCACACCUGUAAUCCCAGCACUCUGGGAAGCCGAGGCGGGUGGAUCACCUGGGGUUAGGGGUUUGAGGCCAACCUGACCAACAUGGUGAAACCUCGUGUCUACUAAAAAUACGAAAAUUAGCUGGGCGUGGCGGCAGGCACCUGUAAUCCCAACUGCCUGGAAGACUAAGGCAGAAUUCCUUGAACCUGGGAGGCAGAGGUUGCAGUGAGCUGAGAUUGUGCCAUUGCACUCUAGCCUGGGCGAUACAGUGAGACUCCGCCUCAAAAAAAAAAAAAAAAUCAGAUCAAAGAAUAAGAUAGAAUCAGGAGGCUGGGCACGGUGGCUGCUGCCUGUAAUUCUAGCACUUUGGGAAGCCAAGGCAGGAGGAUUGCUUGAGCCCAGGAGUUCCAGACCAGCCUGGGCAAUAAUGUGAGACCCUGUUUCUACAAAUAAUAAAAAUACAAAUAAUUAGCCAGGUGUGGUGGUGCAUGCCUGUGGUCCCAGCUACUUGGGAGGCUGAGCGGGAGGACUGCUUAAACCUGGAGGUAGAGGCUGCAGUGAGCGGUGAUCACGCCACUGCACUCCAGCCUGGGCAACAAAGCAAGACCCUAUCUCCAAAAAAAAAAAGAAAAAAAAAGGCCGGGC